RNAcentral lists this ribosomal RNA (195 nucleotides) under uncultured Sphingomonas sp. Its description in RNAcentral is "partial 16S ribosomal RNA". It matches the Rfam family "Bacterial small subunit ribosomal RNA", at positions 337 to 524 of the family's 1533-position model. The record is from RNAcentral. Lineage: Bacteria; Pseudomonadati; Pseudomonadota; Alphaproteobacteria; Sphingomonadales; Sphingomonadaceae.
UCCUACGGGAGGCAGCAGUAGGGAAUCUUCCACAAUGGACGAAAGUCUGAUGGAGCAACGCCGCGUGAGUGAAGAAGGUUUUCGGAUCGUAAAACUCUGUUGUAAGGGAAGAACACGUACGAGAGUAACUGCUCGUACCUUGACGGUACCUUAUUAGAAAGCCACGGCUAACUACGUGCCAGCAGCCGCGGUAAU